UAGAACGUAAAGAUACAUACAACUCUAAAUUUUUACUUUUCUAUUUCUAACCGUUAUAUUUUAAUAGCCAUUUAAAUAUUUUACAUCUAUAUAAACAAAAGAAGAUCGUGUCAGUUACCACCACAUAACUCGAGAACCACUGAAUAGAUUUUUAUGAAAUUUUCCACGUAUAUUCGACCGGACUGAGAAUAGGUUGCUAUAUAUUUUUCAUAUCCGUACGUCAUAAAGGGGGCUGCCCCCCUAAUAUAUUUUUUUAUUUUUUUGGUCAAACUGUUUUUUCUUAAUUUUGUGUGAUGUGGAAGGGAAAGGUAAAUACAACCCUACAUUUUCACGUUUCUACCUUCGACCGUUAUUUUUUAAUAGCCAUCUAAAGUUUUGCAUCUUAUAUAUAAAAAUCUAUUGCUGUGCGUUAGUCUCGCUAACACUCGAGAAUGGCUGGACCGAUUUGGCUAA
RNAcentral lists this long non-coding RNA (453 nucleotides) under Diabrotica virgifera virgifera (western corn rootworm). RNAcentral's name for it is "uncharacterized LOC126891713". The record is from RNAcentral. Lineage: Eukaryota; Metazoa; Arthropoda; Insecta; Coleoptera; Chrysomelidae.